GCCCCGGAGCCCUUUUGG
RNAcentral lists this transfer RNA (18 nucleotides) under Anolis nebulosus. Its description in RNAcentral is "partial tRNA-Cys". The record is from RNAcentral. Lineage: Eukaryota; Metazoa; Chordata; Lepidosauria; Squamata; Anolidae.